UUGUCAUCCUGAGCAAAGCGAAGGACCUUAUCAGGUUAGAACGACCAUCUUUGUGACGACUCGUUCUAACCUGAUAAGGUCCUUCGCUUUGCUCAGGAUGACAG
Molecule: unclassified non-coding RNA, 104 nt
Filed under: Hymenobacter daecheongensis DSM 21074
Lineage: Bacteria; Pseudomonadati; Bacteroidota; Cytophagia; Cytophagales; Hymenobacteraceae
Description: Flavo-1 RNA
Source: RNAcentral